RNAcentral lists this ribosomal RNA (253 nucleotides) under uncultured bacterium. RNAcentral's name for it is "partial 16S ribosomal RNA". It matches the Rfam family "Bacterial small subunit ribosomal RNA", at positions 524 to 776 of the family's 1533-position model. The record is from RNAcentral.
UACGGGGGGGGCAAGCGUUGUUCGGAAUUACUGGGCGUAAAGGGCUCGUAGGCGGCCAACUAAGUCGGAUGUGAAAUCCCCAAGCUUAACUUGGGAACUGCAUCCGAUACUGGAAGGCUUGAAUCCGGGAGAGGGAUGCGGAAUUCCAGGUGUAGCGGUGAAAUGCGUAGAUAUCUGGAGGAACACCGGUGGCGAAGGCGGCAUCCUGGACCGGCAUUGACGCUGAGGCGCGAAAGCCAGGGGAGCAAACGGG